UACGAAGGGGGCUAGCGUUGCUCGGAAUCACUGGGCGUAAAGGGUGCGUAGGCGGGUCUUUAAGUCAGAGGUGAAAUCCUGGAGCUCAACUCCAGAACUGCCUUUGAUACUGAGGAUCUUGAGUUCGGGAGAGGUGAGUGGAACUGCGAGUGUAGAGGUGAAAUUCGUAGAUAUUCGCAAGAACACCAGUGGCGAAGGCGGCUCACUGGCCCGGUACUGACGCUGAGGUGCGAAAGCGUGGGGAGCAAACAGG
Molecule: ribosomal RNA, 253 nt
Filed under: uncultured bacterium
Lineage: Bacteria
Description: partial 16S ribosomal RNA
Rfam family: Bacterial small subunit ribosomal RNA
Source: RNAcentral